CAGGGCGGCCAUAGCGUCGGGGAUACUCCUGAACCCAUUCCGAACUCAGAAGAUAAGCCCGGCUGCGUUAUGCACUGUACUCAGAUGCGCGAGCUCUCGGGAACUGCAUUUCGCUGCCCAGG
This 122-nucleotide ribosomal RNA is filed under the name Bacteroidota bacterium. The record is from RNAcentral. Lineage: Bacteria; Pseudomonadati; Bacteroidota.